CGCGGGAUUGACGGGGUGCAGCAGGCGCGAAAACUUUACAAUGCCGGCAACGGCGAUAAGGGGACCUCGAGUGCCAGGUUACAAAUCUGGCUGUCGCGAUGCCUAAAAAGCAUUGCAUAGCAAGGGCCGGGCAAGACCGGUGCCAGCCGCCGCGGUAACACCGGCGGCUCGAGUGGUAACCGUUAUUAUUGGGUCUAAAGGGUCUGUAGCCGGCCGGGUAAGUCUCUUGGGAAAUCCAGCAGCUUAACUGUUGGGCUUUCAGGAGAUACUGCCUGGCUCGAGGCCGGGAGAGGUGAGAGGUACUUCAGGGGUAGGGGUGAAAUCUUGUAAUCCUUGAAGGACCACCAGUGGCGAAGGCGUCUCACCAGAACGGACCUGACGGCAAGGGACGAAAGCUAGGGGCACGAACCGGAUUAGAUACCCGGGUAGUCCUAGCCGUAAACGAUACUCGCUAGGUGUCGGCCACGGUGCGACCGUGGUCGGUGCCGUAGGGAAGCCGUGAAGCGAGCCACCUGGGAAGUACGGCCGCAAGGCUGAAACUUAAAGGAAUUGGCGGGGGAGCACCACAACGGGUGGAGCUUGCGGUUUAAUUGGAUUCAACGCCGGAAAUCUUACCGGGACCGACAGCAAUAUGAAGGCCAGGCUGAAGACUUUGCCGGAUUAGCUGAGAGGUGGUGCAUGGCCGUCGUCAGUUCGUACUGUGAAGCAUCCUGUUAAGUCAGGCAACGAGCGAGACCCACGCCCACAGUUGCCAGCGUACUCUCCGGAGUGACGGGUACACUGUGGGGACCGCCGCUGCUAAAGCGGAGGAAGGAAUGGGCAACGGUAGGUCAGUAUGCCCCGAAUAUCCCGGGCUACACGCGAGCUACAAUGGUUGGUACAAUGGGUAUCUACCCCGAAAGGGGAUGGAAAUCUCCUAAAGCCAAUCUUAGUUCGGAUUGAGGGCUGCAACUCGCCCUCAUGAAGCUGGAAUCCGUAGUAAUCGCGUUUCAACAGAACGCGGUGAAUACGUCCCUGCUCCUUGCACGAAUUCGCUUAAUCACUAGU
Molecule: ribosomal RNA, 1047 nt
Filed under: uncultured Methanosaeta sp.
Lineage: Archaea; Methanobacteriati; Methanobacteriota; Methanomicrobia; Methanotrichales; Methanotrichaceae
Description: bacterial SSU rRNA
Rfam family: Archaeal small subunit ribosomal RNA
Source: RNAcentral